AGGGAUUGCCCUAGUAACGGCGAGUGAAGCGGCAACAGCUCAAAUUUGAAAUCUGGCCCUCUCGGGGGCCCGAGUUGUAAUUUGCAGAGGGUGCUUUGGCGUCGGCUGUGGUCUAAGUUCCUUGGAACAGGACGUCGCAGAGGGUGAGAAUCCCGUAUGUGGCCGCCAGCCUUCGCCGUGUAAAGCCCCUUCGACGAGUCGAGUUGUUUGGGAAUGCAGCUCUAAAUGGGAGGUAAAUUUCUUCUAAAGCUAAAUAUCUGCCAGAGACCGAUAGCGCACAAGUAGAGUGAUCGAAAGAUGAAAAGCACUUUGGAAAGAGAGUCAAAAAGCACGUGAAAUUGUUGAAAGGGAAGCGCUUGCAGUUAGACAUGCCUUUAGUUGCUCAGCCGGGCUCUUUGGCCCGGUGCACUCUUCUAUCGGCAGGCCAGCAUCAGUCUGGGCGGUCGGAUAAAGGCCUAUUAAACGUGACUCCCCUCGGGGAGAGCUUAUAGGGUAGGCGCCAUGCGACCAGCCUGGACUGAGGUCCGCGCAUCUGCUAGGAUGCUGGCGUAAUAGCUGCAAGCGGCCCGUCUUGAAACACGGACCAAGGAGUCUAACAUCUAUGCGAGUGUUUGGGUGUCAAGCCCGGGCGCGUAAUGAAAGUGAACGGAGGUGGGAUCCCCCCCGGGGUGCACCAUCGACCGAUCCUGAUGUCUUCGGAUGGAUUUGAGUAAGAGCAUAGCUGUUGGGACCCGAAAGAUGGUGAACUAUGCCUGAAUAGGGUGAAGCCAGAGGAAACUCUGGUGGAGGCUCGCAGCGGUUCUGACGUGCAAAUCGAUCGUCAAAUUUGGGCAUAGGGGCGAAAGACUAAUCGAAC
RNAcentral lists this ribosomal RNA (856 nucleotides) under Vaginatispora amygdali. RNAcentral describes it as "partial large subunit ribosomal RNA". It matches the Rfam family "Eukaryotic large subunit ribosomal RNA", at positions 70 to 940 of the family's 3401-position model. The record is from RNAcentral. Lineage: Eukaryota; Fungi; Ascomycota; Dothideomycetes; Pleosporales; Lophiostomataceae.